GGUGUACUGCGCUUCUCGACAGGAAAUAACGUAUUCCUGAGACCUUAUUGAUUUCAAAGGGAGCUGUCCCUGAAAAAGCUCGUGGGCUUUUUCAUAUGGCGCCCACCUACAGAGUAGGUUCUCGGAAUCAAUCUUUCCAUCGGUUGUUGUGGUUCACCA
Molecule: non-coding RNA, 159 nt
Filed under: Bartonella sp. F02
Lineage: Bacteria; Pseudomonadati; Pseudomonadota; Alphaproteobacteria; Hyphomicrobiales; Bartonellaceae
Description: Bartonella sp. F2 6S RNA
Rfam family: 6S / SsrS RNA
About the family: E. coli 6S RNA was the first non coding RNA to be sequenced, but its function was unknown until recently.
Source: RNAcentral